GUGAAUCAUCAAAUUUUUGAACGCAUAUUGCACUCGCUGGUAUUCCGGCGAGUAUGCCUGUUUGAGGGUAAUUAAAAAGAAUCUUUUACCCAUUUUUUUGGUCAAAGGAAAUGAGUUCACCGCGUAUAUAGCGGUAGCUUCAAACAAAUGGUCAAGUCUCAUUUUAGCCGACACGCGUAAUAAUAUUAUUUCGCGAACUCCUCAUUAUGUGACUAUCAAGUUUUGGUGCAUACAAAU
Molecule: unclassified non-coding RNA, 237 nt
Filed under: Ambisporaceae sp.
Lineage: Eukaryota; Fungi; Glomeromycota; Glomeromycetes; Archaeosporales; Ambisporaceae
Description: partial contains 5.8S ribosomal RNA and internal transcribed spacer 2
Rfam family: 5.8S ribosomal RNA (bases 1-71)
Source: RNAcentral